AGUGCCCGCUGGAGGUGGUCUUUAACAGCUAAGAGAACACACAACUGCUUUGAAUUAUGCAUCCUAAUGAGCAUAGAGGGCUACAUUCAAGCAGAUAUUUAUGAAAGCAAAACAUGGUACGCAAAAUGACCAAGACUAGGAUAACGUUACAUAUCACUGUGUUUCUGCAACAACAGAUGCAACUAUUCAGGAUUGGAGUUUUAAGUAAACAAUACGCCACAAGGAAGUGUGACAGGGUUUAAGAAUAUAGGCUGCUGUGAUUUAGCUGUCCCUUGAGGAGAGGAGCACACAUCAAGAAGGCUUUCAGGAGUGUUGUUCCAUUUUAAUUUACCAGAAAUGGAAAAAGGAUCAUUGUUUAACUUCAACUCUUCUCAUCUUCUAAACCAAAAAACAGUUUCUCUUGGGAUUAGAUGUUUCUAGGAUUUGGAAAAGUAAAGAGGCCUCAGCUUUUUAUUUAUUUUUUCCUAUUUUCAAGUAAUGGAUGACCUACACAAGGCAUUUCAGUCCCUGAAGCAACAAACUGAAGAGAAAAUUUGAGCAAAUGGGCUUUUGAACACCUCUUAGACCCCUGGCUCUUCCCCUGCCUAUGAAGAGAAUUGGCCCUAAAGGGAAGAAUUCUAUUGCUUUUGUAUAAUCUACAGCCCUCAGGAGAGGGUUUCUUGCUACUCUGAAUAACCCUAUUAUGUAGCACAACUUCAGUGAACCAACAGUGAUAUUUUGCUAUGCAGCUCUGAUUCCUAUUUAAUUGAAUCAUCCAUUUUUUUAAAAAAAAAAUAGCUUUCUUUAGGUAUAAUUUACAUACCACAAAAUUCACCCAUUCAUAGUAUACAGUUGAGUAAUUUUUAGUGUAUUCUCAGAGUUGUGCAACCAUCACCACUAUCUAACUUUCAAACAUUCCCAUCUUCCCCAAAAGAAACCCUGUACACAUGAGCAGACAUUCUUCAUUUCCACCCCCACUACCCCAACCCAGCACUAGGUAACAAUCUAUUUUCUGGCUCUAUAAAUUUGUCUAUUCUGGACUUUUCAUACGAAUGGAAUCAUACAAUAUGUGACCUUUUGUGACUGGCUUCCUUCACCUAGCAUAAUGUUUUCAAGAUUCAUCCAUGUUGUAGCAUGUAUCAGUAAUACUUCACUCCUUCUUAUUGCCAAAUGAUAUUCCAUUAUAUGGAUGUACCACCAUUGUUUAUCCAUUCAUCAGUUGAUGGACAUUUGCAUUGUUUCCACUUUCUGUCUAUUAUGAAUAAUGGUGCUAUGAAUAAUGCUUGUUGUUAGUGUACAACUUUUUGUGUGGAUAUAUGUUUUCAAUUCUCUUGGGUAUAUCCUGUAGGGGAGGAAGAGAGUUCCUCUACCCUCUAGGUCCUUCUGGCUGGGCUAUGAAUUAAAUUGACAUGAGACAGAAGAACAGGAGAAAAUCAAACAAAGCUUUAUAACAUGUAUACCUGGGAGAAACCCGGGAAAACUGAGCAACUUAGCCAGAAUGGCCAAAACUACCACCUUAAAUAGCAUCUUUAGCUAAAGACAAAGGAGGAUGUUGGAGGUGGAGGGAGUCAGUAAUGGGAGAUUACCAGAAAAUUAUGGUAAACAAGAGUAAGGUUAUGAUGCAGAUUUAAGUCCUUGGCUUCCACACUGAUAAGAGUUUCUAGAGAUAAGGUCAUCCCCCCUUCUUCCUGGUACAGAGAGGGAGACAUCUUUACAAAUGGAGAGUUCCCCUAGAAAUGUAAAUAUCUCUUACAAACGGUAACUUCUACUUGGUUUUCAGAGCUUCUCCCCUGCCUGCAGUUUCUUAAAAGUAACGAGCCCAAAAUAAUCCUCAUGCCAGAGAAACACAUUUUGGGGUGGCCAAUUCUGAUCCCCCAUUCCUCACUGUGGAAUUGCUGCGUCAUACGGUAAUUCUACAUUUAACAUUUUGAGGAACUACCAAACUAUUUCCAAAGUGGCUACACCAGUUUUAUUCCCAUCAGCAAGGUAUGAGGGUUCCAAUUUCUCCACGUCUUCACCAACAGUUGUUAUUGCCACCCUCAUGGGUAUGAAGUUGUAUCUUGUUAUGGUUUUGAUUUGCCUUCCCCUAAUGAUGGCAAUCAUCUUUUCAUGUGCUUAUUGGCCAUUUGUGUAUCUUCCUUGGAGAAAUGUUCAUUCACAUCUUUUGUCCACUUUUAAUUGUAUUAUUUGUCCUUUUAUUAUUGAGUUGUAAGAGUUCUUAAUAUAUUCUGGAUAUAAGUUAUUUGUCAGAUACAUAAUUUGCUAAUAUUUUCUCCCAUUCUCUGGGCUGUCAUUUUACUUUUUUGUUGGUUUCUUUUGAAGCACAAAAAUCUUUAAUUUUGAGGUAGUCCAAUUUGUCUAUUUUUAUUUUUGUUGCUUAUUCUUUUGGAGUCAUAUCCAAGAAAACACUGCCUAUCCCAAGGUCACAAAGGUUUACAUUUAUGUUUUCUUCUAAGAGUUUUAUACUUUUAGCUUUUAACUUUAGGUCUAGGAUCUGUUUUGGAUUAAUUUUUGUAUAUGGUAUGAGGUGGUGUCUCACUUUAUUCUUUUUUGAGUAGAUAUCUGGUUAUCCCAACACCAUUUGUUGAAAUUGCAUAAGCUUUUAAACCACAUACUAGAAAGCUGUUAAGUUAGCAGUUACAUUAGCUGUCUGUCACUGAGCAUCCGAGUAAGCAAAUUCAACUCUGGGAGCUUUCGGAAUCAGUAUUUGUUUCUGUAGAUUU
Molecule: long non-coding RNA, 2702 nt
Filed under: Equus caballus (horse)
Lineage: Eukaryota; Metazoa; Chordata; Mammalia; Perissodactyla; Equidae
Description: lncRNA (ENSECAG00000051319.1)
Source: RNAcentral